UUAGCGCAGCGCGGCCGCGCUCGCCGUGAGGGGCGGCUCUGGGGGAGCCCCGGAGGGCCCGGGGUGUGAGCCCUGCCCCGGGAAAGCCCGGCCCGGCCCGGCCCGGCAGCGGUGCCCGCCACUGAGGGACACGGCUCGUCCUGCCCCGGGCCGGGCACGGGCGGAGCUGGGGCACUCUGGGCCUCCAUUCCGCCCGCUGCCAGCACCGCGGCUGGUGUGUUUCCACCUCUGGCUGUUCCCAGAAACACCUGUGUCUGUUUUGUUUCCCUGGAGAAAAGAAAAGUCAGCGCGAGCCCCAAGUUAUCCCUGCUUACCCUGCGUGUUGUGGGUAUCCGACAUUUAUGUUUUGGAACUCCACGAAAUAAAUCUACAGGCUGGAAAAGUUCCCCGAGUGUUUGUUCGCUUCUAAAAAUGACACUGUUUCACGCAGCAGUGUGACGUCUUUGUGACACGGCAUGUGGCACGGUUCUGUUCCACUGCAGAGAUUAAAAAUAAGCACAAAACGACUAAACUAGUUUAACAUCCCUGUCAAGAGGCUUGGUUAUCUCUCCCAUUUGUCACGGUCUCAAUGGUCUACUAAACAACCAGAAUUUUCCUAAUGAAAACAUGUUCUUUUCCUCUAAAACCUCCAGAGGCAAGAGAAACCACUGGUACGCAGAAUUAUUUGUAACACAAUGACUCCACAUGCCUUAAUUAUCUCAUUUUUAUUUGCUAGGAUGAGGAUCAGAAAGGCAGACAGGUCCAGUUCCAUCUACAGCAGCUGGGGAGGCAGAUUUCCAAUUCCUGCUCUGCUCUUUCCAUCCCUGUUAGAAAAAAGGUGGUUUAAGGUAUGGCAGCGCCACUUGAGGCUGCCUCCCACUGAAUAGAAACCUCGGGGGCAAAGAGAUUAAAUGCAAAUGCUCCCGUGUGGUUGUGCAACCCAAGCCAGCUGGUUUGAAGCUGCUCUGGGGAUCAGACUUGUGCAAACAUUCCUGACAGCCACCAAAAAGUGCCAAUGGACUUUUGAUUUGCUUUGUGCAGAGUUGGAGAUGAGAGUACAAGCAGGCUAAGCCAAACUCUUGGAGGCAUUUGCUAAAAGUUGUGUGCUUCAGUGUCAUGCUGAUGCCCAGCCUGUGAGUGUGAACAAAACUCACUUCAGCCAGAUAAGGCAGAGAUUUACCUGAGCACAGCCCCUCUUCUCAUCAUGGACUGCCACUGUUGCAGUCUUGGGACUGAGGUUGCCCCAGUCUUUCCAGUUCUUGGCCUGUGGAUCACACCUGGUAUUCUAGCAGCUCAAAAAAAAACCCACCCCAUUUGUACAAAUUCCAUGAGCCAAGGGUUUCAUGUCAAACUUAAUGGCUGGGGUGAAAUUUUAGGAACACUGCUGGCCUUAGUUUCUUUGACACCAGACAUUUAAAUGCCUCCUAAAUGCUUCUCUCGGAUCCUAGGUUAUCAAUACUCCACCAGGUUUGGUCUUUCCCUCUUGAAAAUUACUACCUCUGAAAUAAGAGUUUUCUCAUUUAUGUACAUGCUAAGAUUUAUCCUCGAUACUGAGAAGGAUCCUGAGCCAUUUUAAAUUUUCUCAAGAAAUACUAUUCUAAGUGUUUUAGUACAUUCUUGGCUCUUUAUUUUUUUGGGCUGUGUUUUGGCUUAAAAUGCUGCCAGCCAGGUAAAAGCCUUUUCAAUGUUGUUUUAGUAUGAACAAAAUGGAAACUGAGAAUUUCAAACAAGAGGUAAGUAAGUAUUUUCUUGGAUUCCUUGGUCUUUCUGUAGUAAAGAACACUAAAGAACUUUUCUCCCAAUGGAUCACUCCAAAGGAGGAUCUUUUGACCAUGAAAUAUUUAUCUGGUGUCAUGCUCUGUUAGCUGGUACCAAUGGCUAAAUUUAGAAAAGCUGUGAUCCUUCUUCUGAUGCUUUUUUUAAGCUCUACUGGGCAAGUAGAAGGCUUAGGAAUUAAAUGAGGUCACUCCCGUCCUAAGGGUGCUCUGAGUUCUAUCAGUGCUGUUAAAACUUGCACAGCUCAUUUUUUUUCCUUCUUUAGUAUGAGUGAAAUAGUUUUUUACCAAGUAGAUUGCAGUUCAUUAGUGAUCAAUAGAGUUCUCUAAAACAUAUUAAGGGCUGUCUUAGAAACCAGCACUGGCUUUUUGUCUUCACUAACAAAAAACAUGCACACUUUUAUUUUUGGGAGAGACAAAUCCAAAUCCCUCUCAUUAUGUCAAAUUAUAUUGGAGAGGAGACACUUUUUUUUUUUAAAUUAAUAUUGAAGAUUUAACCAGCUACAUCUGAAAUCAAAUCUACUUGCAAUGUCAGGGUAAGCCAGCCUCUAGGUCCUCCAUAAGGGCAGAAAGACAGUCUUGUCUGAUUCAGGCCACUGAUAAAACUCAUAUGAAAUAUAUGUUCACAAAAAAUAUAAUAUUUAUGUUCAUCAAUAUAAAUAGCUAAAAAACAUUCAGCAUAUUUUGUUUUGGAUCAACAUGAAUACAUGCAAAUGAGAGGCUGUUUGAAUAAUGGUUGUUGCUGCUUAGCUGACAGAAACCAGUUUUUGCUGAAAGCAGCAACUGUAGUAGCCUGGUUAUUUCAGAAAGUUAUCCCAUCUGGAAAACACGGUCUUAACUGGAGGAACAACAGGUGAUGUAUUUAAUUGAAGGCUUCCACUUGGAUCAGAAUAAGCAGCAUGAUAAGAAGUUGUUAAAAUCACACCAAUCAGCUUCACUUGCACCUUCAGAACAACAUGAAUGAAACAAGGAUCACUCACAAAUACAUUUUAUACCCACAACACACAUAAAUCUUCUCAUUCUCGUAUUUUGUGCUAGUAAACCCAUUACCUUACUCGAAAUUAUUAUAAUUUGUGGUUUUAGUAAUCUUGAUACUCUAUCCUAGUGGCAAGUUAAUGACCAGAAGCAGAGGCAAUUCUUUGGCAAAGCCUCAAGAGGCACAGCACUUGGAAAUAAAACCAGCAUGAACUGCAGGCUCAGAUAAAGCACAGACCAGUGAAAUCACCUUUACUCUGACAGGAAGACAUCAGUAGUGCUAAUGUGCUCUUGAAAUUCUCUAGAGGUGAAAACUUGGCAGGCAAUAAACCAAUCUUUGAAGGAAGAACUCCAAACUGUGCACCUUGUUAUCCCAAAGGCAUCACAAAAUGAUUAAUUCAGCCCAAGUACAAGGUACAGGGAGCAACAGGUGAAGCAAAGCAGACAGUUCCUGUGAUAACCUUGCACAGACAACAAUCAGAGUUGUCCAUUGCAGGCAAAUCAGGAAAGCCAACAGCCCCAGAGACAGCAGAGAUUUCUCUCUGUACUGCAAAACCUUCCAGACACACUUUCCAGGAAAUAAUUUUACCUAUUUGAAUGAAUGAAAUUAUCUAGAGACAUAAACUACCCAGAAAUCAUCUCCAGUUUGAGAAAAUCUUCAGUUGAUAUUCUUGAUACAGAACAAGGAUGGUCAUUAAUUCUGUAAAUGACACCCCAUAACAUUGAGUCAGGAAAAACCAAACUCCUAUGGUUUCUGCAUGCGCAGCUGGCAAAACUCAGUUAAAACUUUUCCCUACAGAAUCUAAACAAAUGCAAAACAGAGCUACAGCACUGUUUCCAGAGAAUUUUAUUUCACUCUACUUCAUCCUCUUCUUUAAAGAUUGUGCAUUUCUUUUAUUACUUUUAUGCUUGUAAUUGGUAAUUUUUUAAGCAACAGGAAGGAUUCUGUUAUUAUUGUGCAUUGGUCUGCCUCUAGAAUGAAGUAAAUGUAACAGCUGGGGCACAUCAGGUAAAGCUGGCACUGCCACUGCAGAGGUUUCACUGCCUUCCCCAGCAGGAGCAGCACACAACUGAGCUGUCUCAGUGCAUCUGGCUCCUGCUGCUCUGCCAGCAGCCAGGUUUGCCAAAAUGCCCUUCCAAAACUGAAACACACAGAUUGCUGCAUACAGCUAUGAAAACACAGCAUUACAAUAUUACUACUGACCUUUGUACUAAAUGAAACUUCAGAGCACCAAGAACAAGAUCUAUCCAAAACACCGUAUUUACAAAAUAAUCAGGAAACGUGGCAGUCUCAGAGCAAUUCCUACACUGAGGUUUUUUUUUAUCUUUUCACUGGUAUAAGCUGAUCACAGUAGGAGAAACAUUUUACAUAACUUUUUACAGCUCUGACAUAGCUGUGCUGCCUUUAACUGCAUCAGGGGUACAUCUUGUGCAGUAAAUGCAGACCAUGUGGUUGUACCCAAAAUCACUUUUUAUUUGCCAGUUUGGGAACAGCUUUGCAGCUGUAGUGUCCCAUUUCCUGUCCUGCACAGGACAUGUAAGACAGCAUCCAAAGACUCUGAGCUUCAACAGUGGAUAUGCCACUUGGCUAAAGAUUGUACUUCUAAGGAAAUUAAUCUUGAGUGUUAUUCAUGGAAUGUUUCUAAAAUUUGAGUCACGAGCUCAUACACAUGUGAGCCAUCUGGAAGCACUUCCAGGAGAUGGAAGGGAGAUUUUAAGAACUAUAAACAGUGUUAUUUACACAAUGCCUGUUUCACUUUUUUCCACUGUAAGUAAAGAAAGAAAACAACCUUAAACUCUUUAUAUACAAAAUGACUGUAAUUGAAAAAGGACUGCUUAAGAAUUUGCAUGUGAUAUCAGGAGUUUAAUCAAACUUUAGUGACUGACAGAAUUCCUCCUGGUCAGCACUACCAGAAAAGCCUGUGGCAAGGAAAUUUUCUGGCACUGUAGUAAAGAACUGUCAACAAGAGAAAACACAGAAUACUGGAUUUUUGUUUACAUUAUCAAAACCUAAUCAAAGAAAUCCUGAUAGAGAUAAGACAGAGACAAAUGAAUCAGAUUUUCCAUCUAUUUUCACAUUAAACAAACCAGAUAUGAAGAAUUUAUUUUCCAUUCUGCUGAUAUGAAUGAAUUUUAUGCAAUUCGCCAAAUGCCAGUAUCAACAUUUCAUAUUCCAAGACCAAGAUUUCUUGUCAUUAAUUCCACGGGUGUUGGCCUGUGUGCCUUUCAAGGAUCCAUGUGAAUGGAGGGACCUUUGCAGGCACCUCACAAAGUCAUUAAUCAUUUAAGAUCAAACCCCAGAUUUUAUUGCUGUAACAAGAGGCUACACAGGAAACCUGCCUCUUUCUACCACCACUAAUUACCAGCCACGCUGAGGGAAAGGAGUGCACAGCUCUUGACCAGAUCUAUUUUGUUUAUUAAAAUCAAUAUGCACAAGAUUAUUUUACCUGUUUUCCUUUAUCCCCUUUGACAUAAAAAUAUGUUUGCAUUUGUCCUUAAAAGCAACCUUUAGAGCCUGUGUUGGGAAAUACUGUGUAACAUUGACCAAAUCACCAGUGCCAGAGGUUCUACAGAGAAAGAAAUGGAUUUUUAAAAAUAACUAGAGAUUUUAAAGUUUCCAAAGUUUAUACUACACCUAGGAUAUUAUACACUAUCUCUUCUAUUUGGAAUGAGCUGCAACAAAGGCCAAAAAUCUGUUCAGGUCCUUUCCUUUUCAAGCACUUCUUUUUGGAGAACUGGAUUUAUUUUGAAACUUACCAACAGCGUAUGAAUUUGGUGUUAGCACUAGAGAAUCUCAAACUACCAGUGAAACAUCAGUAAUAUCAGAAAUAGCCUAGAUUUCCAACUUCCUUACUUCAGCCAUUUCUAGGACUAGGGAUAGCAAUGGAAAGUGCAGGAGAGCAGAGCAUUGACAGGGCUGGGCAGACCUUGCUCUCCUGAAGCAGCCUCCUUGUGCAUUUUGGCUGACAGAGAGGGUGCUCACGCUCCAUCUUAAAGCAAUGCCUGACAGCUGAUACAGGAUCAGAAACUCAGUGACACUUUUAGAAUUAUAUUAUACUUCUGAAUUAAAUAAAGGGUUCUCCUGGACAGGAAGCUAAAAGCACUGCAGCAAGGUCUGCUUGCUUUCCUCCACAUUCCUUCUUCCAUCCACCAGGAAAUCUAAUGCCCAAACCUCAGGUAUUUUAGACUUUGAGAGGUGUAGCAGAGUAACUCUCCCAUCACUUGAUUUAUACACGGGGAACAGAGCUAACACACUGCUGCUGUGAUUUGUAGGCCUCAGACUGAAAUACUGCUGCUCAUCUGCUAGGAACCAUAAAUCCUGGAGAAAGCUGAUUAGUAAAGUCUUCAAUCACAGCUUGCACUUCAGGCCCAAGACUUCUGCAGCUUGGAAUUAAAACAAGUGUUGAGUGAUGAAGACAAGCUGUGAAUCACCCUGUGAGCACUGCAAGCAUUUGAUGGACUGUUUUAGGACUACCCUAAACUGUGUCAUUUACCAGUGAAAACAGGAUCUAAAGAUUUGGCCAUGAGAACCCAUGAAAUUGAAUUUGCUUUCCUGAACUCUUAAACUUUUUGAUCCCGUUGUUUAAAAUGGAAUUCUAGUUAUGCAUUUUAUGAAAAGCACUCAUGAAAAACAAGUAGAAUGAAAUAAUAAAACAAAAAAGAAAAUACAUUAAGUAAAAAAAAGGAUAAAAAAUUAAUGCUUUACUGUUCUUUAACAAAUAUACAUUUUUAUUAUGAAAUUAUGAAUAUAAAAUAAGCCAAGUCCAUGCACAUCUUAAAACCACCCUGCCCACCCCCCUUCUUUCUUUGUGUCUUCAAAAUUGCAUUUUAACAAAUAUAAGUAUUAUUUAUAGUUAAAACUCAUGGAGUCAAGUAAAACAUCAACCACACUAUAGUUCUCGAGGGUGCAGGAGAGCAAAAAUGGUAAACCAUUAGUUUUGUGAGGCUAAGUGCCAGGAAUUGUCUGAAAGAUUUCUCUCUGUUUUGAUUAACACAAUGCUACUGCAAACAUUCAGUAUUUUUCAGGCUCUCAGAGAUGCAAAUUUUUAAGUAAACUGGAGAAAUUUUUUUUUCCUCCACCACCAAUUUCCAUGUUUAUAGAGUACUUUGAGGAUCAGCUUACCAUUUUAUGUUGCAUAUUGUACACUGAACAUACAAAUUAUGUGGUGUUUUCAUAUAACAAAGUUAU
Molecule: long non-coding RNA, 6918 nt
Organism: Passer domesticus (house sparrow)
Lineage: Eukaryota; Metazoa; Chordata; Aves; Passeriformes; Passeridae
Exons: 2
Source: RefSeq, a predicted model, not a curated record